UACGUAGGGUGCAAGCGUUGUCCGGAAUUAUUGGGCGUAAAGAGCUCGUAGGCGGUCUGUCACGUCGGCUGUGAAAUCCCGAGGCUCAACCUCGGGUCUGCAGUCGAUACGGGCAAACUAGAGUAUUGCAGGGGAGACUGGAAUUCCUGGUGUAGCGGUGAAAUGCGCAGAUAUCAGGAGGAACACCGGUGGCGAAGGCGGGUCUCUGGGCAAUAACUGACGCUGCGGAGCGAAAGCGUGGGGAGCGAACAGG
This 253-nucleotide ribosomal RNA is filed under the name uncultured bacterium. RNAcentral describes it as "partial 16S ribosomal RNA". It matches the Rfam family "Bacterial small subunit ribosomal RNA", at positions 524 to 776 of the family's 1533-position model. The record is from RNAcentral.